RNAcentral lists this transfer RNA (71 nucleotides) under Bos taurus (domestic cattle). It matches the Rfam family "tRNA". From Rfam's summary of the family: Transfer RNA (tRNA) molecules are approximately 80 nucleotides in length. Their secondary structure includes four short double-helical elements and three loops (D, anti-codon, and T loops). The record is from Rfam by way of RNAcentral. RNAcentral also lists the same sequence under 4 other names. Lineage: Eukaryota; Metazoa; Chordata; Mammalia; Artiodactyla; Bovidae.
UCCCAGGUGGCUCAGUGGUAAAGAAUCUGCCUGCCAAGCAGGAGACCUGGGUUCAAUCCCUGGGUUGUGAA